RNAcentral lists this long non-coding RNA (859 nucleotides) under Mytilus galloprovincialis (Mediterranean mussel). Lineage: Eukaryota; Metazoa; Mollusca; Bivalvia; Mytilida; Mytilidae. The record is from RNAcentral.
UACGUCAAUGUUUGAUUGUUGGCAAGUUGGAAAAACGUUGGAUUGUUGGAUCGCGCGCUUGCCGUCCAACUAAAUAUUUGAAUUCUUAAAUAAAUUGCAAAAAUCACAAUAAUCUACAAUUUUAGAAUCCUUUAUAUAAUAAAAAAAAGUUUGCAUGGUACUAAAUAAGUUUCUAUGGUAACUAAAAAUACAACAAUAUAUACAGCGCCACCGGAAGUCACAAUACGUAAACAACAUUGCAAAAAGUUAUGUGUGUCACCGGCGGACCAAAAUGAUAAAUAUCAAGGAUAGUGAGCAUUAUCAUCUACAAAACAUUGAAGACGUUGACUAUAAAUACUAAAAGGAAUUACAAGAAGUAUGUGAAAACAGUUGCCAACACGUAAAAAUAGUGUUUUUAUUGAACAAUCGUCCCAAGUGACACAUGGGUUCUACUGCGCUUGUCAAUACAUUUCAUUCAUAAAUUCAAGCAAGGUGCGUGGAAUUUACUACAGUUGCUUAAAUUGGAUUAUCACAAAAAUACAAGACAUUUGGCUUCCAAAAUCAACAUAUAAUGACAGAUAGAUGUAAUCAUAGAACGCAUAGAUUUUACAAUACAGAGAAGUUAUGAUUAUCGAUUUUCAAUCAACUGAAAGUUAAAAUUGGAUUCAACCAAGCAUGAUGACCGCAUGCCCUAAUUUGCAGACGACACCUAUUUGUGGAUUAUUCAGUGGAUUAUUACUGUAAACUGGUAAAUUAUAACAUGAACUUCAAAUGUUUAAUCAAAUAUACAAAUGACAUUUAAUUCAAUAUUUCUACAAGAAUCAUAAUACUAUAAUUGUUCUAACUUUUCUUAAAUGUUAAUUAAAAAUGUUAAUUAAAA